Molecule: long non-coding RNA, 1469 nt
Organism: Nerophis ophidion (straightnose pipefish)
Lineage: Eukaryota; Metazoa; Chordata; Actinopteri; Syngnathiformes; Syngnathidae
Exons: 3
Source: RefSeq, a predicted model, not a curated record
UACUUUAGCAAAAAAAAAUGUUGGCACUUCUUUUGUUGCCCUAUUUGUAUUUCCCUUUAUUUAGCAUUUUAUUAAACAAAACCAGUUUUCUUUUAUGUAAUAUAGAAGUUUAUCACAACUGUUUAUCUAUUUUAUGAAGGAAUGUAGUUAAUCACAGAACUGGCACCCAAUGUUAUUAAAAAAGUAUAGAUUUAAAAUUGAGAAUCAAUUCUGAAUCGUACUGUUACCCUCAACAAUCGAAUUGAAUCGAAUUGUGUGGUGCACAAAGAUUCACAGCCCUAGUAAUUAGUGCCCUUAAUUGAACAAUAUUGCAGUGUAAAACACAACAUUUGCUAAUACAAGGUUUGGCUUCAAGUGGGAAGAUAUUCAGCAGACAACAGCAAUAUGCAAAGUAUGCAGCAGAAGUGUUACUACAAAAAGGUAGCAACACUAUUAAAUUGUUCUUUCAUUCAAAAAGUCACCCGCGAGAGAAUGAAGAGUAUUUAAUAAAUACACUUUUGGUCAUAUAACUUAGUUGUGAUUUCCCUCUGAGCAAGAGUGUUUAAAAGUAGCAUAUAUUAAUGCAGUAUGAAGAAGAAUGUUUGAAUGUAGACACAUAGAAUCAUCAUACUGCUGUCAUUAUAUGCAUCAAGUGUUCAUUCAAGGCUAAGGCAAAAUAUCGUAUUAUAUUAUAUAUUAUAUAUUAUAUUCCAAUAUGGCAUACAAAUAUCGCGAUAUUAAUAAAAGCCAAUAUCUCCAAGCCCUAGUGCAUUCAACUGAAUAUGGGUUGAAAAUGAUUUGCAAAUCUUUGUAUUCCAUUUAUAUUUACGUCUGACACAAUUUCCCAACUCAUAUGGAAAUGGGGAUUGUGGUUACUUAAAUUGUCUUUCUGGUUAUGACUGUUUUUUUGUAUGCAUACCUUGUCCUGGCAGUGACAUGACGACAAAGAAUACAACUCAAACACAACAAUGGAGUCCACUGGAAGAGUAUAAAGAUCAGCGGGGUCACGCUCAUAAUUGUUUUUCCGAAGAACCUUGGCUGAUGUACGGAUGACAAGACGUGACUCUGCAGAGUUUUACCUUAAUUCUCCUUCAAACAGGCUGGAGAUUAGAGGACAUUCCUCUCCGUUUCCACUCAAGCGGAGAAGCCGUCAGUGGUCACUGCGGCGCUGAUGUAAUGCACCAUCUCCAGCGUCUUUUGAAGUGGCGGGAUAAGCCGGCCUCAGACGUGGCCGAGUUCAAAAGGGCCCACAGAGGGAUUUGGAAACAGAGGAAAGGAUCCUAUUCUCCCUUCAGAUCAUUUCCAGCCUGGCUCAGCAAACACGGAGGGUGGAAAAGGAGAAAAAGUCAUGGAAGGUUUCCAGCUGACGGAUUGAUUCAGACAUGUGGCUUGCUUCAUUCUGGUGGACCAGGGGAGUCAUAACAGAGACAAAUCUCUCCCUUUCAAGGGUAUACACUCUGUGGCUGCUGAAAUAAAUAAUGUAGGACUUA